Small nuclear RNA from Catagonus wagneri (Chacoan peccary), 108 nucleotides. Lineage: Eukaryota; Metazoa; Chordata; Mammalia; Artiodactyla; Tayassuidae. The record is from Ensembl.
GUGCUUGCUUCCAACAGCACAUACACUAAAAUCAAAACAAUACACAGAAGAUUAGCAGGAGUCCUGCACAAGGAUGACAUGUAAAUUUGUGAAGCAUUCCAUGUUUUA